This 238-nucleotide ribosomal RNA is filed under the name uncultured bacterium. RNAcentral's name for it is "partial 16S ribosomal RNA". It matches the Rfam family "Bacterial small subunit ribosomal RNA", at positions 103 to 334 of the family's 1533-position model. The record is from RNAcentral.
CGGCGGCGGGUGGAGUAACGCGUGGGUAACCUGCCUCAUACAGGGGGAUAACAGUUGGAAACGGCUGCUAAUACCGCAUAAGCGCACAGUACCGCAUGGUACGGUGUGAAAAACUCCGGUGGUAUGAGAUGGACCCGCGUCUGAUUAGGUAGUUGGUGGGGUAACGGCCUACCAAGCCGACGAUCAGUAGCCGACCUGAGAGGGUGACCGGCCACAUUGGGACUGAGACACGGCCCAA